CCCCUUCUUCUCACAUAUUUGUCCAUUUCUGGAAAGUUCUCCUUUCCGGAUAUCAUUUCUGGAUAUGAAAGGCCUGCUGUCCUCAGACAGAGGGGAGUUGGUGGGACCUGUUGUGAGUAUAAGGGAAGAAGGAGAGCAGGGA
This is a long non-coding RNA of Dermochelys coriacea (leatherback sea turtle), 142 nucleotides long. RefSeq lists it as uncharacterized. NCBI's taxonomy places the organism in Eukaryota, Metazoa, Chordata, Testudines, Dermochelyidae. The record is from RefSeq and is a predicted model, not a curated record. The transcript is spliced from 3 exons.